Cinara cedri is the source of this 328-nucleotide non-coding RNA. NCBI's taxonomy places the organism in Eukaryota, Metazoa, Arthropoda, Insecta, Hemiptera, Aphididae. The record is from the annotation of a GenBank genome assembly.
GAAGGCGGGGUAAUUUUUUUAGUGAAAUUCCAACCUAUUUCUAGCAUUAUGGUGGUCGAUUCCCGAGGCUACACCGGUCAAAACUGAUCUAUAUAUGUAAAAAAAUACAUGUCUUGACUGAUUGACUGAUUUAUCAUCACCUAGCCCAAACCACUGGACGGAUCGCUAUUAGAUAGCUAUUACGACAUAGGCAUCCGCCAAGAAAGGAUUUUUGAAAAUUCAACACCUAAGGGGGUAAAAUAGAGGUUUUUUUUUUAGUUUAUAGGCGUAUUUAGUAUGAAUAUCGAAUUGCUUAUUUAUUUAUUUUUUCAUAUUUAAGGGUUACAUU